This 1738-nucleotide unclassified non-coding RNA is filed under the name Leishmania donovani. Its description in RNAcentral is "gene:LdHU3.20.0580(CDS-product:ribosomal_RNA-proc essing_protein_8_putative)". The record is from RNAcentral. Lineage: Eukaryota; Euglenozoa; Kinetoplastea; Trypanosomatida; Trypanosomatidae.
UGACACGCACUCUUAGUUCUCUCGACCCGUCUCCUUUUAGCGUGCUUGUGCACCGCGUAUUCGCACUGCGUCUCCUGCGUCUUGUCUCCGCUGCUCUCGGUAAGGGGGGGGGUGCUGCGUGCACCUGUGCUGUCCAACAUGUUAGGCGGCCGCCACUUUCAAAGAAAGUACGAGAAGAAACAGAAGAAAAAGGAAGCCAAGAAAGCGUCCCAGGGUCCUCUGCGUGGUGCGGGUGGCUCGAGCAGCGCCAGCGCAACAGCAGCAGCGGGGGCGGCUGCCAAGCGCAAGGAUGGCAGCACGCUAAAGGGGCCCGUCGUGUCGCACGGCGCCUUCAUGGCGAGCCGCGACUCAGCGAAUAACCGAAAAAAUGUGCCGUUCCCGAGCAAGAUGGAGGAGAAGGUUUACCGCAAGGAGCAUCGCGUCCCAAAAUACAACUGCAUUGUCGACCCGGAGCGGCAGAACUUGGCUAAGGCAGCCGGGGCUAGCAGCGCUGCUCAGCGCCGUCGCGUUUUGCGGCAGAAGGGUGACGAGGACCUCCUCGACCACUUCCGCGAGCGCCUGAAUGCCAGCACGUUCCGUCUCUUGAAUGAGCAGGUGUACAACGCCCCGACCACACUAGCGAGUCGGCUGCUGCGCGAGGAGGCGACCUUUCGCGACUACCACACCGGCUACCACCAACAGCUCAUGCAGUGGCCCAUGAAUCCGAGCACGCUCAUUGUGGAGUCGCUGCUAGGGGACCGACGUGGGCGGUUUCUCGCGAACAAGGGGAAGAGCAUGCCAGGGCACAUCCCGGUCUCGUGGGUGGUCGCGGAUAUGGGUUGCGGUGAGGCCCAGAUCGCCGCGGCGCUGAAGCCGAAGGGCUACACGGUGCACUCCUUCGACUUCUUUGCUCUAAACUCGCUGGUGACGGUGGCGGACACCACCAAGGUGCCCCUCGCGGACAACUAUGUCGACGUCUGUGUCUUUUCGCUUAGCCUGAUGGCGACGGACUACGUCAAGAGCCUCUUCGAGGCCUUCCGCAUCUUGAAGCCGAAGCGGCUGCUCAAGAUCAUCGAAGUGCGCUCCCGUGUGCCGUUCCCGCGCAAGUUUGCAGAGCUCGUCGAGGACAUCGGCUUUGAGGUGGAUUACAGCGACGUCGCCGGCGACUACUUCGUUGCCUUCGACUUCAUCAAGAAGGACGACCAGGCGGCCGCCAACACGCAGCUACGCCACGAACCGGGUGACGUGCUCGUGCCAUCCCUUUACAAGAAGCGGUGAGGGGUUAAGGGUCGGGGGAAUAGGGGCGGUGGGCGGCGCGCCUUUUCGGCUUCCUUCGCCGAAAGUGGCCGUCCGCUGGUACGACAGUGUGUGGGGGUGGGGUGGGGGGAGGGGAACGGCAGCGGUGCGCACGGUUAGCCGCUCGGCAUCAUACAAAACGAAGAGACAAUACCGUCAUGUGUUGCCCCUCCCCCAUUUUCGACCUCCCCCACCCCCCACCCCACCGUCGCAGGGGUCGCGAGUGUCGAGCGCAUGCACACACACACACACACACACACACACACACGCAUACUUCUCUGCCUAUGGAGCACGCCUCCUUGUCCCUCUUUCUUCCCCGCCCCUAGCCUUGUUUUCGUGUCGUUGGUGUGGAAUAACGUGCGUGUAAGGCGUGAGCGAGCUGAGCGGCGUGAGGGGCGUUACCUGCCACCUGGCCUGAUUUUUGUGUCCUCGUUCUCUGUGUCCUUGCCAGGGAGAGGAAGAG